GCGGAUAUGGUGGAAUUGGUAGACACGCUGUCUUGAGGGGGCAGUGGUUAGCGCCGUGCCGGUUCAAAUCCGGCUAUCCGCACCA
This 85-nucleotide transfer RNA is filed under the name Magnetococcales bacterium. RNAcentral describes it as "tRNA-Leu". It matches the Rfam family "tRNA". Rfam says of the family: Transfer RNA (tRNA) molecules are approximately 80 nucleotides in length. Their secondary structure includes four short double-helical elements and three loops (D, anti-codon, and T loops). The record is from RNAcentral. RNAcentral also lists the same sequence under 2 other names. Lineage: Bacteria; Pseudomonadati; Pseudomonadota; Magnetococcia; Magnetococcales.